UCAAACCGGCGUAAGCCAGGUUGGUUUCUAUCCUUAAAUAAAAAAAAUAUUNUAGUNCGAAAGGAUUAAAUAUUUAAAAUAAUUUUUACAAAAAUGAAUAAAAUUAAU
This 108-nucleotide ribosomal RNA is filed under the name Saraiella rotunda. RNAcentral's name for it is "partial 16S ribosomal RNA". The record is from RNAcentral. Lineage: Eukaryota; Metazoa; Arthropoda; Insecta; Diptera; Psychodidae.